UACGUAGGGUGCAAGCGUUGUCCGGAAUUAUUGGGCGUAAAGGGCUCGUAGGCGGUCCAUCGCGUCGGGAGUGAAAAGCUGGGGCUUAACCCCAGUCCUGCUUCCGAUACGGGUGGACUAGAGGUAGGUAGGGGAGAACGGAAUUCCUGGUGUAGCGGUGAAAUGCGCAGAUAUCAGGAGGAACACCGGUGGCGAAGGCGGUUCUCUGGGCCUUACCUGACGCUGAGGAGCGAAAGCGUGGGGAGCGAACAGG
Molecule: ribosomal RNA, 253 nt
Filed under: uncultured bacterium
Lineage: Bacteria
Description: partial 16S ribosomal RNA
Rfam family: Bacterial small subunit ribosomal RNA
Source: RNAcentral